GAAGUUGACCAGACAAUCGCUCUGAAAAAUUUUAAGAGAGGAAAGUCCGGACUCCAAAAGGACAAGACGCCAGAUAACAUCUGGGAGAUGAAAAUCUACGAAUAGUGCCACAGAAAAUAACCGCCUAAAAAUAAAAAUAGAAAAAUUUUUAUAAAUAAAAGGUAAGGGUGAAAAGGUGUGGUAAAAGCACACCGUAUAAUUGGAGACAGUUAUAGCAUAGGUAAACUCCGUCUGGAGCAAAGCUAAAUAUAGGUAAAAUAGUAUUGUCCAUACUUAAACCUGGGUAAGCUGCUAGAACUAAAAAGUAAUUUUUAGUCAAGAUUAAUGAUUGUCUAAUACAGAAUCCGGCUUAUAGGUCAACUUCAUUU
This 368-nucleotide RNase P RNA is filed under the name Buchnera aphidicola (Periphyllus lyropictus). Its description in RNAcentral is "RNase P RNA component class A". It matches the Rfam family "Bacterial RNase P class A". From Rfam's summary of the family: Ribonuclease P (RNase P) is a ubiquitous endoribonuclease, found in archaea, bacteria and eukarya as well as chloroplasts and mitochondria. Its best characterised activity is the generation of mature 5'-ends of tRNAs by cleaving the 5'-leader elements of precursor-tRNAs. Lineage: Bacteria; Pseudomonadati; Pseudomonadota; Gammaproteobacteria; Enterobacterales; Erwiniaceae. The record is from RNAcentral.